UCUCCCGUAGCUCAGCAGGGAGAGCGCCACCUUGACAGGAUGGAGGUCGCUGGUUCGAGGCCAGUCGGGAUUA
Molecule: transfer RNA, 73 nt
Filed under: Bacillus cereus VD131
Lineage: Bacteria; Bacillati; Bacillota; Bacilli; Caryophanales; Bacillaceae
Description: tRNA-Val
Source: RNAcentral